CUGGCUCAGAACGAACGCUGGUGGCGUGUCUUAUACAUGCAAGUCGAGCGAGGCAGCAAUGCCGAGCGGCGAACGGGUGAGUAACGCGUAAGCAAUCUGCCCCAUAUCAGGAAAUACCCGUGCCAACGCGCGGUUAAUGUCCAGGAG
This 147-nucleotide ribosomal RNA is filed under the name Fibrobacter succinogenes. Its description in RNAcentral is "partial 16S rRNA. Bacterial SSU". It matches the Rfam family "Bacterial small subunit ribosomal RNA", at positions 19 to 176 of the family's 1533-position model. RNAcentral also lists the same sequence under 1 other name. Lineage: Bacteria; Pseudomonadati; Fibrobacterota; Fibrobacteria; Fibrobacterales; Fibrobacteraceae. The record is from RNAcentral.